RNAcentral lists this unclassified non-coding RNA (378 nucleotides) under uncultured Parachlamydiaceae bacterium. Its description in RNAcentral is "contains 16S-23S intergenic spacer region". Lineage: Bacteria; Pseudomonadati; Chlamydiota; Chlamydiia; Parachlamydiales; Parachlamydiaceae. The record is from RNAcentral.
UCCCGGUUAACCCGGGCAGUCUCACUAGAGUUCCCACCUUUACGUGUUGGCAAAUAGUGAUAAGGGUUGCGCUCGUUGCGGGACUUAACCCAACACCUCACGGCACGAGCUGACGACAGCCAUGCAGCACCUGUGCAAAGGCCCCGAAGGGCGGCUGCAUCUCUGCAGCAUUCCUUUGCAUGUCAAGCCUGGGUAAGGUUCUUCGCGUUGCAUCGAAUUAAACCACAUGCUCCACUGCUUGUGCGGGUCCCCGUCAAUUCUUUUGAGUUUCAGCCUUGCGACUGUACUCCCCAGGCGGUAUACUUAACGCGUUAGCUCCGGCACAGCUAGGGUUGAGUCCAGCUACACCAAGUAUACAUCGUUUACGGCAAGGACUAC